Molecule: ribosomal RNA, 854 nt
Filed under: Alkalilimnicola sp. S0819
Lineage: Bacteria; Pseudomonadati; Pseudomonadota; Gammaproteobacteria; Chromatiales; Ectothiorhodospiraceae
Description: Bacterial large subunit ribosomal RNA
Rfam family: Bacterial large subunit ribosomal RNA
Source: Rfam by way of RNAcentral
AGUGAAAUCGAGUAGGACGGGGCACGUGAAACCUUGUCUGAAUAUGGGGGGACCAUCCUCCAAGGCUAAAUACUACCUGUCGACCGAUAGUGAACCAGUACCGUGAGGGAAAGGCGAAAAGAACCCCGGCGAGGGGAGUGAAAUAGAACCUGAAACCGUAUGCGUACAAGCAGUGGGAGCCCCUUCGGGGGUGACUGCGUACCUUUUGUAUAAUGGGUCAGCGACUUACUCUCAGUGGCAAGGUUAACCGAAUAGGGAAGCCGUAGGGAAACCGAGUCCUAACCGGCGUCAUAGUCGCUGGGAGUAGACCCGAAACCGGGCGAUCUACCCAUGGGCAGGGUGAAGGCGAGGUAAAACUCGCUGGAGGCCCGAACCCACUAACGUUGAAAAGUUAGGGGAUGACCUGUGGGUCGGAGUGAAAGGCUAAACAAGCCCGGAGAUAGCUGGUUCUCCCCGAAAGCUAUUUAGGUAGCGCCUCGUGUCUCACUCUCGGGGGUAGAGCACUGUUUCGGCUAGGGGGCCCCCAGGGGUUUACCAACCCGAUGCAAACUCCGAAUACCGAGAAGUGCAAUCACGGGAGACAGACGGCGGGUGAUAAGGUCCGUCGUCGAGAGGGAAACAGCCCAGACCGCCAGCUAAGGCCCCAAAAUCGUGAUUAAGUGGAAAACGAUGUGGGAAGGCAUAGACAGCCAGGAGGUUGGCUUAGAAGCAGCCACCCUUUAAAGAAAGCGUAAUAGCUCACUGGUCGAGUCGGCCUGCGCGGAAGAUUCAACGGGGCUCAAAUCACGUGCCGAAGCUGCGGAUGCUAGCUUGCUAGCAUGGUAGGGGAGCGUUCUGUACGCCUGCGAAGGUGG